AGCGUCUGUGUGCUCUGCAUGCUGGCAUGCAAGCGCACACAGACAUUUGCCAGGCAAGGGAGUAUGAGCAGGGAGCGCCGAAGGCGCGGAGUGCGAAUACGGCCGCCGAUUGCGGGAGCGGCGAAGGCGCGUAGCAAUCGGGGC
This 144-nucleotide small RNA is filed under the name uncultured Lachnoclostridium sp. RNAcentral's name for it is "Clostridiales-1 RNA". It matches the Rfam family "Clostridiales-1 RNA", at positions 16 to 158 of the family's 166-position model. Lineage: Bacteria; Bacillati; Bacillota; Clostridia; Lachnospirales; Lachnospiraceae. The record is from RNAcentral.